GGCGGCAUGCUUUACACAUGCAAGUCGAACGGCAGCACGGGUGCUUGCACCUGGUGGCGAGUGGCGGACGGGUGAGUAAUGCAUCGGAACGUGUCCUGAAGGUGGGGGAUAACGCAUCGAAAGAUGUGCUAAUACCGCAUAUUCUCUGAGGAGGAAAGUAGGGGAUCGAAAGACCUUAUGCUUUUGGAGCGGCCGAUGUCUGAUUAGCUAGUUGGUAGGGUAAUGGCUUACCAAGGCGACGAUCAGUAGUUGGUCUGAGAGGACGACCAGCCACACUGGGACUGAGACACGGCCCAGACUCCUACGGGAGGCAGCAGUGGGGAAUUUUGGACAAUGGGCGCAAGCCUGAUCCAGCAAUGCCGCGUGAGUGAAGAAGGCCUUCGGGUUGUAAAGCUCUUUCAGUUGAGAAGAAAAAGUCGCGACUAAUAAUCAUGAUUCAUGACGGUAUCAACAGAAGAAGCACCGGCUAACUACGUG
Molecule: ribosomal RNA, 477 nt
Filed under: uncultured bacterium
Lineage: Bacteria
Description: bacterial SSU rRNA
Rfam family: Bacterial small subunit ribosomal RNA
Source: RNAcentral